UGGGGAAUAUUGGACAAUGGGCGCAAGCCUGAUCCAGCCAUGCCGCGUGGAUGAUGAAGGCCCUAGGGUUGUAAAGUCCUUUCGGCGGGGAAGAUAAUGACGGUACCCGCAGAAGAAGCCCCGGCUAACUUCGUGCCAGCAGCCGCGGUAAUACGAAGGGGGCUAGCGUUGCUCGGAAUCACUGGGCGUAAAGCGCACGUAGGCGGACUCUUAAGUCGGUGGUGAAAUCCUGGAGCUCAACUCCAGAACUGCCUUCGAUACUGAGAGUCUCGAGUCCGAGAGAGGUGAGUGGAACUGCGAGUGUAGAGGUGAAAUUCGUAGAUAUUCGCAAGAACACCAGUGGCGAAGGCGGCUCACUGGCUCGGUACUGACGCUGAGGUGCGAAAGCGUGGGGAGCAAACAG
This 403-nucleotide ribosomal RNA is filed under the name uncultured bacterium. RNAcentral describes it as "bacterial SSU rRNA". It matches the Rfam family "Bacterial small subunit ribosomal RNA", at positions 355 to 775 of the family's 1533-position model. The record is from RNAcentral.